UGGGGAAUAUUGCACAAUGGGCGCAAGCCUGAUGCAGCCAUGCCGCGUGUAUGAAGAAGGCCUUCGGGUUGUAAAGUACUUUCAGCGGGGAGGAAGGCGAUGUGGUUAAUAACCGCGUCGAUUGACGUUACCCGCAGAAGAAGCACCGGCUAACUCCGUGCCAGCAGCCGCGGUAAUACGGAGGGUGCAAGCGUUAAUAGGAAUUACUGGGCGUAAAGCGCACGCAGGCGGUCUGUCAAGUCGGAUGUGAAAUCCCCGGGCUCAACCUGGGAACUGCAUCCGAAACUGGCAGGCUUGAGUCUCGUAGAGGGGGGUAGAAUUCCAGGUGUAGCGGUGAAAUGCGUAGAGAUCUGGAGGAAUACCGGUGGCGAAGGCGGCCCCCUGGACGAAGACUGACGCUCAGGUGCGAAAGCGUGGGGAGCAAACA
This 427-nucleotide ribosomal RNA is filed under the name uncultured bacterium. RNAcentral's name for it is "partial 16S ribosomal RNA". It matches the Rfam family "Bacterial small subunit ribosomal RNA", at positions 355 to 774 of the family's 1533-position model. The record is from RNAcentral.